This 253-nucleotide ribosomal RNA is filed under the name uncultured bacterium. RNAcentral's name for it is "partial 16S ribosomal RNA". It matches the Rfam family "Bacterial small subunit ribosomal RNA", at positions 524 to 776 of the family's 1533-position model. The record is from RNAcentral.
UACGGAGGGUGCAAGCGUUAAUCGGAAUUACUGGGCGUAAAGGGUGCGUAGGUGGUUAAUUAAGUUAUCUGUAAAAUCCCUGGGCUUAACCUGGGCAGGUCAGAUAAGACUGGUUGACUCGAGUAUGGGAGAGGGUAGUGGAAUUUCCGGUGUAGCGGUGAAAUGCGUAGAGAUCGGAAGGAACACCAGUGGCGAAGGCGGCUACCUGGCCUAAUACUGACACUGAGGCACGAAAGCGUGGGGAGCAAACAGG